CCUACGGGGGGCAGCAGUGGGGAAUAUUGGACAAUGGGGGGAACCCUGAUCCAGCCAUGCCGCGUGUGUGAAGAAGGCCCUCGGGUUGUAAAGCACUUUCAGUGAGGAAGAACGCCUGGUGGUUAAUACCCAUCAGGAAUGACAUCACUCACAGAAGAAGCACCGGCUAACUCCGUGCCAGCAGCCGCGGUAAUACGGAGGGUGCGAGCGUUAAUCGGAAUUACUGGGCGUAAAGCGCGCGUAGGUGGCUUGAUAAGCCGGUUGUGAAAGCCCCGGGCUCAACCUGGGAACGGCAUCCGGAACUGUCAAGCUAGAGUGCAGGAGAGGAAGGUAGAAUUCCCGGUGUAGCGGUGAAAUGCGUAGAGAUCGGGAGGAAUACCGGUGGCGAAGGCGGCCUCCUGGACCGAGACUGACGCUGAGGUGCGAAAGCGUGGGUAGCAAACAGGAUUAGAUACCCCUGUAGUC
Molecule: ribosomal RNA, 465 nt
Filed under: Vreelandella stevensii
Lineage: Bacteria; Pseudomonadati; Pseudomonadota; Gammaproteobacteria; Oceanospirillales; Halomonadaceae
Description: partial 16S ribosomal RNA
Rfam family: Bacterial small subunit ribosomal RNA
Source: RNAcentral